UACAGAGGGGGCAAGCGUUGUUCGGAAUUACUGGGCGUAAAGGGCGCGUAGGCGGCCUUCUAAGUCGAACGUGAAAUCCCCGGGCUCAACCCGGGAACUGCGUCCGAUACUGGAAGGCUUGAAUCCGGGAGAGGGAUGUGGAAUUCCAGGUGUAGCGGUGAAAUGCGCAGAUAUCAGGAGGAACACCCGUGGCGAAAGCGGCUCUCUGGGACGGUACUGACGCUGAGACGCGAAAGCGUGGGGAGCAAACAGG
Molecule: ribosomal RNA, 253 nt
Filed under: uncultured bacterium
Lineage: Bacteria
Description: partial 16S ribosomal RNA
Rfam family: Bacterial small subunit ribosomal RNA
Source: RNAcentral